ACGCUCGACACCUACGGGAGGCAGCAGGUGGGGAAUAUUGCACAAUGGGGGAAACCCUGAUGCAGCAACGCCGCGUGAAGGAAGACGGUUUUCGGAUUGUAAACUUCUGUUCUUAGUGAAGAUAGUGACGGUAGCUAAGGAGCAAGCCACGGCUAACUACGUGCCAGCACGCCCCGGUAAUCUGAGCGGGCUGGCAAGGC
This 200-nucleotide ribosomal RNA is filed under the name uncultured bacterium. RNAcentral's name for it is "partial 16S ribosomal RNA". It matches the Rfam family "Bacterial small subunit ribosomal RNA", at positions 328 to 539 of the family's 1533-position model. The record is from RNAcentral.